UACGUAGGGUGCAAGCGUUAAUCGGAAUUACUGGGCGUAAAGGGCGCGUAGGCGGUUUCGUAAGUCCCGUGUGAAAGCCCCCGGCUCAACUGGGGAACUGCACGGGAAACUGCGAGGCUUGAGUUCGGGAGAGGGAAGCGGAAUUCCGGGUGUAGCGGUGAAAUGCGUAGAUAUCCGGAGGAACACCGGUGGCGAAGGCGGCUUCCUGGACCGACACUGACGCUGAGGCGCGAAAGCUAGGGGAGCAAACGGG
Molecule: ribosomal RNA, 253 nt
Filed under: uncultured bacterium
Lineage: Bacteria
Description: partial 16S ribosomal RNA
Rfam family: Bacterial small subunit ribosomal RNA
Source: RNAcentral